GGAGGGAUGGCUGAGCGGCCGAAAGCGGCGGUCUUGAAAACCGUUGGGCGUGCAAGCGCCCCGUGGGUUCGAAUCCUACUCCCUCCGCCA
Molecule: transfer RNA, 90 nt
Filed under: Syntrophus sp. (in: bacteria)
Lineage: Bacteria; Pseudomonadati; Thermodesulfobacteriota; Syntrophia; Syntrophales; Syntrophaceae
Also listed under: 5 other names
Description: tRNA-Ser
Rfam family: tRNA
About the family: Transfer RNA (tRNA) molecules are approximately 80 nucleotides in length. Their secondary structure includes four short double-helical elements and three loops (D, anti-codon, and T loops).
Source: RNAcentral